CCAACUCAUCAGGAUUGAGAUAAAAAUUUAUAUGUAUCAUCCCUAUCCAACUCUUUUGCUUGUGGGAUACAGUUUUCAAUCCUAGGAACACUAGAACUCUAAAUACUAAUUUGUCCUAUAUAUCCCGAAGUCAAAGUUAUUCGUCACAGAAAACAAGAAAGAAAAAAAGAGGGGUAGAGAGAGAGAGAGAUCAUAAACAAUUCCAUACAAAUUUUACAUACAAGACAAAGAGAGAGUACUUUUAGAGGAAGAAAGCAAGCUGGUUUUCAAUCAAGAAAUUCAGAAGUUUGGAACUUGCAUUCAUAUUUAUUUCGAUUCUUUAAAUAACAAGGUAAGAUAUUUUAUGUGCAAAUGUUUUGUGUUUCCUUAUGCCUUUAUAUUCAAUUAAAUACGCAUGGAUUGCCAGUGGACUUUUUUUUAAGAGAGAUGAAAUCCUAGGGAUUAUAAGAGGACCUAAGAUGCGUGUGUCACUUGGUCACCGAUAUACUUUAUAAGAUCAGAAUGGUAUGAAAUGUAUAAUUUUAUUGUUAUAUAUUUGUGUAUGAAAGCUGCGCGUAUCUUACUGGGUGUUUUCAAAUACUCACUCUUACAAAUUUUUAUAGGUUAGUUCGGGUAGAUUGGAAUGGUGGCGAAAUGGUGAUGCAGACUGCCAAGUGGAUUAAAGGAAAAGAAAAAGAAAUAAGUUUGUCG
Molecule: long non-coding RNA, 690 nt
Filed under: Olea europaea subsp. europaea
Lineage: Eukaryota; Viridiplantae; Streptophyta; Magnoliopsida; Lamiales; Oleaceae
Source: RNAcentral